AACGAACGCUGGCGGCGUGCCUAACACAUGCAAGUCGAACGGAGUGAAGGAGCUUGCUCUUUCAUUUAGUGGCGCACGGGUGAGUAACGCGUAGAUAAUCUGCCUUAGACUCUGGGAUAACAUCUCGAAAGGGGUGCUAAUACCUGAUAAGCCCACGAUGGCGAAAGUCGUUGCGGGAAAAGGGGGCCUCUGAAUAUGCUCUUGAUCUAAGAUGAGUCUGCGUACCAUUAGCUAGUUGGUAGGGUAAGAGCCUACCAAGGCUACGAUGGUUAGCUGGUCUGAGAGGAUGAUCAGCCACACUGGAACUGAGACACGGUCCAGACUCCUACGGGAGGCAGCAGUGGGGAAUUUUGCGCAAUGGGGGAAACCCUGACGCAGCAACGCCGCGUGAGUGAUGAAGGCUUUCGGGUCGUAAAGCUCUGUCUAGAGGGAAGAAAUGAUAUUUGGUUAAUACCCAGAUUUCUUGACGGUACCUCUGAAGGAAGCACCGG
RNAcentral lists this ribosomal RNA (491 nucleotides) under uncultured bacterium. RNAcentral describes it as "bacterial SSU rRNA". It matches the Rfam family "Bacterial small subunit ribosomal RNA", at positions 29 to 496 of the family's 1533-position model. The record is from RNAcentral.